Long non-coding RNA from Lytechinus pictus (painted urchin), 1713 nucleotides. RefSeq lists it as uncharacterized. The record is from RefSeq and is a predicted model, not a curated record. NCBI's taxonomy places the organism in Eukaryota, Metazoa, Echinodermata, Echinoidea, Temnopleuroida, Toxopneustidae. The transcript is spliced from 2 exons.
AGAUAUAGACGCUAUCCUGAUUAUCAUAAGUACCUUGGAGAAGUAUUCAGACACAAAGCUGACGUGCAAGACAUGGAUAUAUCACCCUAUGAUGAAUAUUUAGUUACAGCAUCCAAAGAUCGUUCCGUGGGGGUGGUCAGGUUAGGUUUGCCCAAUCACGGAGGCACGGAAUACAGCGAGCUAACGUGAUUGGACAACUGGACCUCAGUCCCAGCUAGCAGCAUUCCUUCUUUUGUAUAUGUCUGUACAUAACAUUCUAUUUGUGCAUUUGGACUGUGGAGACUCCGUGAAACUUGGGAGGAAAAUUGCAUUGGAUAGAUGGAGAUUUGUUGAUGGAGGCUCAAAGGCUUCAGGACUCGGUACAUCUAUACGAUGGAAAUGCAGGUGAACCGAAAUAAAAUGGAGAAUUGGAUUUCAGUCUUCGCAUUUUGGUUCAAUCCAUCAAGUGAACAAUGAAUCGAUUUGAUCUUCUUGGUCGUUACUGAUUGCAUUCAAACUCAAUGAAUCUGUAAGAUGCUUAAGGUUUAUAUUUCAUGGAAGCUCAAGGCAUCUAAUUGGAUGCGUGAUACAUCAGGGGGGUAUUUCAUUAAGAGUUAACUGUGACUUAGAGCCAUGCUUAAAUGCCAACGUGCACCCUAUACAUGUAAUGUGCAAACUUAUUGAUUAAUACGCAGAAGUGUGCAUCCUCAUAGCAUGAUAGACUAAUGCAUUGAUGCUUAAGUGCAACUCUAAGUCAUACUUAAAUUUUUGUGAAACACUCCCCAGGUUAACAGAUGCUUAUGGUGUUUAUAACUGGGUGGGUGUUUCAUAAAUCUGUUGGUAAGUUACAAACCACUUUAAGCAUGACUCUUGACCCAUUCUCGGGAGGUAAAUCAAUAAUUAUGAAAAAUUUGGGGUGUAUCAUUCACCACAAGAAAGGGUCACCAGUCAGGCGUAGCUUACAGCUUUGUGAAAUGACCCCAGGAUAGUGUCUCAUGAAUUUGUGUUUUAGCCAAUCAGAGGCAUGGAUUUCAGUAGCUUAUAGCACUGAAAAUCACUGACUAUUUGCUUUGUGAAGUGCUCCCCUGAUAUUUCUAUUUCGGGGAUGUCUAAUUAAGAAAGAAUGCAUACAUCAGGGUUAUUUGGAAAAUAGGGUACAUCUAGUUGAUCAAGACUCAUCGUUGCAUCUCAUGGAAUGUUCAUUUCAUUCUUUAAAGCAAGGUUAAUUUCAUCCUUUUCUGGAAUAUCUCUGGGCAUUUCAUUGGAGAAUUGAUGCAUCAUUUUAAUGGAUGCUCUGGGUACCCUAUCUGUGGCUCAUUUAUUUCAGGGAUAUCCAGGCAAUCUCCAGUGAAGGCUUAUACAUGUAUGUUUUAGUGAUGCUCACUCUAUAUCUAGUUAAUUGGAGUGCAUGGCAUCGUAUUUGAAGCUUGAUCAGGGUUCCCACAGUCAUAGAAAAUCCUGGAAAAAUUUGUGGUCAUGGAAAGUCAGAGAAAAGUCAGGGAAUUUUGAAAAUUUGUGAAAAGUUAUGGAAAAGUCAUGGAAUUGCAUUUACCUCUUGGCUAUGGCAGUUUUCCAGUUUGUCGUGUCUCUCAUACUCUGAUCAUACUCUGCUAUUAUAACUGGUGUUCAUGAUUUCCAUUUUUCCAAGUUUUGUGACAUCCCAAAUUCUACAUAACUCCCGGAACGACAUAGGAAGUCAUGGAAAGCAGCAAUUUAGUCAUGGAAAAGUCAUGG